This 508-nucleotide ribosomal RNA is filed under the name uncultured eubacterium WR831. Its description in RNAcentral is "bacterial SSU rRNA". It matches the Rfam family "Bacterial small subunit ribosomal RNA", at positions 9 to 527 of the family's 1533-position model. The record is from RNAcentral. RNAcentral also lists the same sequence under 1 other name.
GAGUUUGAUCCUGGCUCAGGACGAACGCUGGCGGCGUGCUUAACACAUGCAAGUCGAACGGUGACCUCGGAGCUUUGCUCCGGGUGAUCAGUGGCGAACGGGUGAGUAACACGUGAGUAACCUGCCCCAGACUCUGGGAUAACUUCGGGAAACCGGAGCUAAUACCGGAUAUGACACGAAGAGGCAUCUCUAUCGUGUGGAAAGUUUUUCGGUCUGGGAUGGACUCGCGGCCUAUCAGCUUGUUGGUGAGGUAACGGCUCACCAAGGCGACGACGGGUAGCCUGCCUGAGAGGGCGACCGGCCACACUGGGACUGAGACACGGCCCAGACUCCUACGGGAGGCAACAGUGGGGAAUAUUGCACAAUGGGCGAAAGCCUGAUGCAGCGACGCCGCGUGAGGGAUGACGGCCUUCGGGUUGUAAACCUCUUUCAGCAGGGAAGAAACGAAAGUGACGGUACCUGCAGAAGAAGCACCGGCUAACUACGUGCCAGCAGCCGCGGUAAUACG